AGAGAAGAUAAAAUGUCCGCCCAGUACCUAUUUAGGAGUGCAACAACUGUGUUUUUGAAUUUGUAUUACAGUGGAUAAUGCACUCCCAAAUAGGUACUGGAAGGAAAGUCCGAACACCAUAGGGCAGGAUACUUCCUAACGGGAAGUCUUGGUAACAGGGAGAUAGCUCCACAGAAAUAAACUACCCCGCCCCUAUUGGGGAAAUCUAAAUUAUAUGACUUCCCCAAUAGGGCGAGGAAAAGGUGAAAUGGCGGUGUAAGAGACCACCAGGUCCUGGUGUGAAUCAGGAUGCUCGGAAUGCCUUAUCCGGUGCAAUGCCAAGUAGAAGAACGUGAAUUUGCCCGAUUCGUUAAGUUCUUGGGUGGGCAGCUAAAAUCGGUUCGGCUUUUAUCGAAUCUCAGUUGAGAAUAGCAAUAUCCGAUUUAGAGAAAUGGACAUUAUGCUGUUUGUUAGACAGCAUACAGAAUUCGGCUUAAUAUCUUCUUUGACA
RNAcentral lists this RNase P RNA (490 nucleotides) under Candidatus Cloacimonadota bacterium. RNAcentral's name for it is "RNase P RNA component class A". It matches the Rfam family "Bacterial RNase P class A". From Rfam's summary of the family: Ribonuclease P (RNase P) is a ubiquitous endoribonuclease, found in archaea, bacteria and eukarya as well as chloroplasts and mitochondria. Its best characterised activity is the generation of mature 5'-ends of tRNAs by cleaving the 5'-leader elements of precursor-tRNAs. Cellular RNase Ps are ribonucleoproteins. Lineage: Bacteria; Pseudomonadati; Candidatus Cloacimonadota. The record is from RNAcentral.